UUAACUUAUUAAAAAUACGCUCAGAUUUCCCAGUAGAAUCAAGAGUUUGGUUUGGUCCACCGGCGGGCUCCCGGGAAGGCUCCGAGGUUUGCACGCUCAGACGGCUCCGGGGUUUUCACGCGCAGACGGCUCCCGGGUUGUCACACCCAGAAGGCUCCGCGGUUUCCACCCCGUGCCUACCCCUCCCGGUGGCUCGCGCCGAGGCAACAUGGUAAAUACACAAUGGUUUUUUGGGAGUUUUUCAACUCUGUAAUGAUCCCUCCGCUGGUUCACCAACGGAGA
Molecule: unclassified non-coding RNA, 282 nt
Filed under: uncultured fungus
Lineage: Eukaryota; Fungi
Description: sequence contains ITS1
Source: RNAcentral